Molecule: ribosomal RNA, 478 nt
Filed under: uncultured bacterium
Lineage: Bacteria
Description: partial 16S ribosomal RNA
Rfam family: Bacterial small subunit ribosomal RNA
Source: RNAcentral
GAUGAACGCUAGCGGGAGGCCUAACACAUGCAAGCCGAGCGGUAUUGUUUCUUCGGCAAUGAGAGAGCGGCGUACGGGUGCGUAACACGUGUGCAACCUGCCUUUAUCUGGGGGAUAGCCUUUCGAAAGGAAGAUUACUACUCCAUAAUAUAUUUAACGGCAUCGUUUAAUAUUGAAAGCUCCGGCGGAUAGAGAUGGGCACGCGAAAGAUUAGCUAGUUGGUGAGGUAACGGCUCACCAAGGCGAUGAUCUUUAGGGGGCCUGAGAGGGUGAUCCCCCAAACUGGUACUGAGACACGGACCAGACUGCUACGGGAGGCAGCAGUGAGGAAUAUUGGUCAAUGGGUGCAAGCCUGAACCAGCCAUCCCGCGUGAAGGACGACUGCCCUAUGGGUUGUAAACUUCUUUUGUAUAGGGAUAAACCUACCCUCGUGAGGGUAGCUGAAGGUACUAUACGAAUAAGCACCGGCUAACUCCGU